RNAcentral lists this small nuclear RNA (110 nucleotides) under Zalophus californianus (California sea lion). Lineage: Eukaryota; Metazoa; Chordata; Mammalia; Carnivora; Otariidae. The record is from RNAcentral.
GUGCUCGCUUUGGCAGCACAUAUACUAAAAAAUCUCUAACAAUAAAGAGAAGAUUAGCAUGGCUCCCGCACAAGGAUAACAUGCAAAUUCAUAAGGCAUUCCAUAUUAAA